GUGACAGUGACGCUUUCAAAUUUUGCUUUUUAUAACGCUUCUGUUCAACUUUUUCUAAAGGUUUGAGGAUAAGUGAUGAUGACAGAUUUACAGGCACCGAAGGGAAUCUGUGUGACUAUGCAGCAGAGAGAAGCCUCGCUUCGCUUUGUAUAAGUACAUGAAAAUUUUGCAGAAAAAAAGGAGAAUACUCGCUGUUGAAUCUUCUUUGGCAAUAUAGAAAUAGAAAAGGGAAUCAGUUGCUGUUCAGAAUACAGCAACUGCCAUUGCGAAUAUAAUGAAGAUGUGAAUCUGAUAAACAAAUAUACUUUUAAAAUAUACAUAGUGUACAGAAACGCUACAAGACGUCGUCGUGAGGAUGUGGGUUGGAGAAAU
Long non-coding RNA from Sitophilus oryzae (rice weevil), 372 nucleotides. RefSeq lists it as uncharacterized. NCBI's taxonomy places the organism in Eukaryota, Metazoa, Arthropoda, Insecta, Coleoptera, Curculionidae. The record is from RefSeq and is a predicted model, not a curated record. The transcript is spliced from 3 exons.